UACAGAGGUCUCAAGCGUUGUUCGGAUUCAUUGGGCGUAAAGGGUGCGUAGGCGGCGCGGUAAGUCGGGUGUGAAAUCUCGGAGCUUAACUCCGAAACUGCAUUCGAUACUGCCGUGCUUGAGGACUGGAGAGGAGACUGGAAUUUACGGUGUAGCGGUGAAAUGCGUAGAUAUCGUAAGGAAGACCAGUGGCGAAGGCGGGUCUCUGGACAGUUCCUGACGCUGAGGCACGAAGGUCAGGGGAGGCAAACGGG
This 254-nucleotide ribosomal RNA is filed under the name uncultured bacterium. RNAcentral's name for it is "partial 16S ribosomal RNA". It matches the Rfam family "Bacterial small subunit ribosomal RNA", at positions 524 to 776 of the family's 1533-position model. The record is from RNAcentral.